ACGUAGGGUGCAAGCGUUGUCCGGAAUUAUUGGGCGUAAAGAGCUCGUAGGCGGUUUGUUGCGUCGGCUGUGAAAUCCCGAGGCUCAACCUCGGGUCUGCAGUCGAUACGAGCAAACUAGAGUGUUGCAGGGGAGACUGGAAUUCCUGGUGUAGCGGUGAAAUGCGCAGAUAUCAGGAGGAACACCGGUGGCGAAGGCGGGUCUCUGGGCAACAACUGACGCUGAGGAGCGAAAGCGUGGGGAGCGAACAGGA
RNAcentral lists this ribosomal RNA (253 nucleotides) under uncultured prokaryote. RNAcentral's name for it is "partial 16S ribosomal RNA". It matches the Rfam family "Bacterial small subunit ribosomal RNA", at positions 525 to 777 of the family's 1533-position model. The record is from RNAcentral.